UACGUAGGUGGCAAGCGUUGUCCGGAAUUAUUGGGCGUAAAGAGCGUGUAGGCGGCCAGAUAAGUCCGCUGUGAAAUCUCGAGGCUCAACUUCGAGCUGUCGGUGGAAACUAUCUGGCUAGAGUCCGGAAGAGGAGAAUGGAAUUCCUGGUGUAGCGGUGAAAUGCGCAGAUAUCAGGAAGAACACCCGUGGCGAAGGCGGUUCUCUGGGACGGUACUGACGCUGAGGAGCGAAAGCGUGGGGAGCGAACAGG
Molecule: ribosomal RNA, 253 nt
Filed under: uncultured bacterium
Lineage: Bacteria
Description: partial 16S ribosomal RNA
Rfam family: Bacterial small subunit ribosomal RNA
Source: RNAcentral